GAAUAAUUAUAUAUGAACAAAUGUGUCAUAAUGGGAAACAGUUUUAAACCAUUUAUAAUAACAUUUAUGUAUAAUAUAACUUAUAUAUAUAUAUAUAUUACUUCUUUCUUUUUCCUUUUUCUAGAUUACGGUUUUAAGUAUUAAACAUGCAUUAAAAUUACCAGCUGAGUUGUCUCAGAAGCUUCUGCAUUACUAUUUUGAAAAACGGAAAGAUCAACUCCAUGCUACUUAUUUGGUUGAAGGUUACAAAGAGGGGGGUGUUGAGUAUGUUUGUUCUCUUUUAAAUGGACAAGACAUUGCUAAGUUGUCAAAUCCGGACUCACUUACUAUAAAAAUAUACAGUUUACAGUCAACUAAAAAAAAACAGGAUUUUUGUUUAUUGUGGAAACAAGAAUUUAAUAUAAUAAAACAACUACAAGAUAGUAAAUUGUCAAAUACGACUAACCAAUCUUCCAUAAACACGUAAUUGCAAUUUCACACAAUUAAAUAUGUGUCCUUAGUCAUAUAUAUAUAUAUAUAUAUAUAUUGAAGAACUGACAACUAUAACCUUUUUUUUUUUUUUAUACAUAUAAUAAUAUAAUAAAAAAUAGCACACGCUAAAAAAAUGUAUACA
RNAcentral lists this long non-coding RNA (613 nucleotides) under Piliocolobus tephrosceles (Ugandan red Colobus). RNAcentral's name for it is "lncRNA (ENSPTEG00000022978.1)". The record is from RNAcentral. Lineage: Eukaryota; Metazoa; Chordata; Mammalia; Primates; Cercopithecidae.